GAGACCCGGGUGAGCCAGGACUCCAGGGACAAAAGGGAGAUGUUGGCCUUAGGGGUCUUCCUGGAGUGCCUGGACAAGGAGCUCCUAUGGGGGACAUUGGAGGAAAAGGACAUAAAGGAGAAAAGGGCCAAGAAGGUUUGCUGGGCCAGGUUGGUGUUGCUGGAGGCGCAGGACCUGCUGGAGCCAGAGGACAGUUUG
This is a non-coding RNA of Tinamus guttatus (white-throated tinamou), 198 nucleotides long. The record is from RefSeq and is a predicted model, not a curated record. Lineage: Eukaryota; Metazoa; Chordata; Aves; Tinamiformes; Tinamidae.